GCCAGGUAUGAUAGCACAUGCCUGUGGUCUCAGCUACAUGGGAGGCUGAGGCGGGAGGAUCACUUCAGCCCAGGAGUUCCGGACGAUAGUUCACUAUGCCAACUGGGUAUUCACACUAGGUUUGACGUCAGUAUGGUGACCUUCUGGGAGCAGGGAAACUCCGGGUUGCCCAAGAAAGGGCGAAUCGGUUCAGGUCAGAAACAGAACAGCCAAAGCUCCCAUGCUGCUCAGCAAUGGCAUUCUGCCUGUGAAUAGCCACUGCACUCUGCCUGGACAACACAGCAAGACCUCACCUCUA
This is an unclassified non-coding RNA of Macaca mulatta (Rhesus monkey), 298 nucleotides long. It matches the Rfam family "Metazoan signal recognition particle RNA". Rfam says of the family: The signal recognition particle (SRP) is a universally conserved ribonucleoprotein. The record is from Ensembl. Lineage: Eukaryota; Metazoa; Chordata; Mammalia; Primates; Cercopithecidae.